GUCCAGACUCCUACGGGAGGCAGCAGUGGGGGAUAUUGCACAAUGGGGGAAACCCUGAUGCAGCGACGCCGCGUGGGUGAAGAAGCGCCUCGGCGCGUAAAGCCCUGUCAGCAGGGAAGAAAAUGACGGUACCUGAAGAAGAAGCCCCGGCUAACUACGUGCCAGCAGCCGCGGUAAUACGUAGGGGGCAAGCGUUAUCCGGAUUUACUGGGGGUAAAGGGGGCGCAGACGGCAGCGCAAGCCAGGAGUGAAAGCCCUGGGCCCAACCCCGGGACUGCUCUUGGAACUGCGCGGCUGGAGUGCAGGAGGGGCAGGCGGAAUUCCUGGUGUAGCGGUGAAAUGCGUAGAUAUCAGGAGGAACACCGGUGGCGAAGGCGGCCUGCUGGACUGCGACUGACGUUGAGGCCCGAAAGCGUGGGGAGCAAACAGGAUUAGAUACCCGAGUACG
This 448-nucleotide ribosomal RNA is filed under the name uncultured bacterium. RNAcentral describes it as "partial 16S ribosomal RNA". It matches the Rfam family "Bacterial small subunit ribosomal RNA", at positions 329 to 793 of the family's 1533-position model. The record is from RNAcentral.